Molecule: ribosomal RNA, 484 nt
Filed under: uncultured bacterium
Lineage: Bacteria
Description: partial 16S ribosomal RNA
Rfam family: Bacterial small subunit ribosomal RNA
Source: RNAcentral
AUUGAACGCUGGCGGCAGGCCUAACACAUGCAAGUCGAGCGGAUAAAGGAAGAUUUUUCCUGGCUUACGGGCGGGUCGGGGGAGGGAGGCCUAUGUCUCUGACUGUCCGUGAGGGAUGGGGUUAGGUAAUGGAAACGGAGGCCACAUCCGUCUAUAGUCUGAAGAUCAAGGAUCUUCAGACACCGCCCUAUCAGCUGAGGCUAGGUCGGAUUAGCUAGUUGGUGGGGUAACGGCUUACCUAGGCGACGAUCCGUAGCUGGUCUGAGAGGAUGAGCAGCCACACUGGAACUGAGACACGGUCCAGACUCCUACGGGAGGCAGCAGUGGGGAAUAUUACACAAUGGGCGAAAGCCUGAUGCAGCCAUGCCGCGUGUGUGAAGAAGGUCUUCGGAUUGUAAAGUACUUUUAGUGGGGAGGAAGGGAGGUAAGUUAAUACCUUUGCUCAUUGACGUUACCCGCAGAAGAAGCACCGGCUAACUCCGUG